CACCCUUGGAUCUGUCUGGUAAACUAACAGGCUUUUCCCAGAAAAUCCGUUUACAGACUGAAUAUCAUUUGGAGAUUAAGAUCCCAGACGCUGUGUUAAACACUCAUCUGUGUGCUGGGGCGAGAGAGAGGGAGAGGAAGUUAAAACACUCGAUAAAAUGCAACAUUUGGACCGCAUCGUACCACCUCUGGCUAGCUCGACAGAUCUCAGGUAAAAGAUUCGAGUCUCCACAGGACCUGAGACAAACAUGAAAAUAUCUGGUCACAUUCCCACAGCGGACAUUGGAUGAAUACAACGUGCUAGGUAUUGCAAUAACGACCACGAAGGCUCCGCAAGAUCACAUGAAAACAAAACAGCACCCUAAGAAAUUGCACUGUGUCACAGCUCUGUAGAAUCACUAACAACUUCUCUCGAUGAUGACGUCUGCAAACGUCUGUGGUUCAAGCGAAUGACUCAGACAUGAAUAAACACAGCACCUUUCUGUGUAAUUAGCUGAUUCCCAGACUGCAGUUGUGUAGAAUGAGCACUAGCUGAGCCUUUUGCUUGGGUUUCCUGGCCUGGUGUCAGCUAAAAGUCAGGUGGUCUCAGGUUCUGCGGAGGUCAGAGGUCACGAGGAGUCUUGCCUCGUUCGACCAGUCGGGCAGAGCCUCUCCAGCUGCUGAGCGCGCUCGUUGUGGACAGUCACCAAGGUUCGGUUCUCCUCGGUUAGACGCCGAAACUCCUCCUCUAGACGGGCAAUCUCCAUGGCAACCUUCUCAUCCUCCACCAGCUCUGCCAGCAACUUACGCCUAAAAGAAGAUGAAGAUUUUAACAGCCAGUAAUUUGUUAAUUUUCUUUCUUAGUAUGACUUAAUCUGUAUCAGGUGGUGUGAAGAGCUGGAGACUGUCCCAGCAUGCACUAAAGCAGGGAGAUGGCCGUAAUAGGUUCCCAGUUCAAGGAAAGGCAGAUUUGCAGACAAUCAAUCACAUUCAUACAUAUGAGCAAUUUAUAGUCUACAGCUGCUUUGUUUCUAGAAUGUGGGAGGAAGCCAAAAUAACCAUGGAAACAAUGCAGACUCUCAGGAAGGCUGACGUGCAUGCUGUUUGAAAACAAAACUAACCCUUUUACAAUCAGUAAAUGCAACAUUUUGUGGAGUCAAAUGGGGUUUACAGUGUUAUUAAAGAAACUAAAGGCAAAUUGUUGUUCCAAUAUAUGAAAAGAUGUUUUGUUUUUUUUAAAUGUAUGGUACAAAUCUGGAAAACUGGAUUACAAACAUUUUAACUGAAGCAUCUACAGUGAAGCUCUACACCUUAUGUGUAAAAUAAUUUUGAUAAAUAUUACGGAUCUCUGUGUUCUCAGUCAGAUUCAGGGAUAUUACCAUUACUACAGAGUCUGGCAGGUUUGAAGAGAAAAUGCUCUGUCUAGAUGAGGUGACAAAAAUGUUUCAUUGCCUAUUAUAUGAUCAUUGAAGGGCUACACUUUACAGUAAAAUGCCCCUCCUAUCAGAAGAGUUCCUCAUGAGAGAUGACAAUAAAAAACGUGAGUUGAUUUUAAGAGAGGAAAUGUUUCUGUGGCAGAUUUGAUCAUGUUUGAGCAAUAGGACAAAGUUUGUUGGUUUUUUUUUUGCAUUGUAAUAUUAAAUAUAAGACGUUAUGUUUAAAUCUUGCAUGCUUUACCACUCCAAUAGCAUUUCUGGUGUCUUGUAAGUCCAUGUGGGCUUGGAGUCAUGAACAUGGCAGCAUUAAUAACAUCACAUAUUAAACUAAAAAUUGU
Acanthochromis polyacanthus (spiny chromis) is the source of this 1752-nucleotide long non-coding RNA. RefSeq lists it as uncharacterized. The record is from RefSeq and is a predicted model, not a curated record. The transcript has 2 exons. Lineage: Eukaryota; Metazoa; Chordata; Actinopteri; Pomacentridae.